Molecule: long non-coding RNA, 866 nt
Filed under: Chinchilla lanigera (long-tailed chinchilla)
Lineage: Eukaryota; Metazoa; Chordata; Mammalia; Rodentia; Chinchillidae
Description: lncRNA (ENSCLAG00000027726.1)
Source: RNAcentral
GCCCCCAUCUUCUUGGUCACACGGGGCGCGCAUUUGACCACUUGACCUUCCCAGCACUCACCGCGUCCCUAAGGCUGCUCUCCGUCCGACCUCUUCCCGCGGCUUCGCGGCGAGUCGUCCAAGGUCCCCCUGCUCGGGAUCCGACGCUGGCGGCGCUCUGGGCUGGGCCCCUUCUGCACGCCCGAGUCAGCUACUUUGCAGCUACUGCUCCCGGAAAAUCGAUGAUCAUUGCUUUUAUUUUAAGCAAAGACUACCUUACGCACUGUUUGCCUUAUCAGGUCAGAAAAACAGCGGCCUUUUCUUUUGCAACUCGCUUUUGGCCUUAUUCUUAAAAGGACCUACUAGGGCCAAUCAAGGGGCCGAGCCCGUCCUCGUGUGCUUUGGCUGCGGUGCCCUCUACUGGACAUGUAACGCAUGCUCGGUUCUCACGGUUGACUAGUUUUCCCAGAAAUGUUACGAAAGCGUUUCAACAAGCUCCUCGGUUUUCUUCAUUGGAUGAUUGGGUUCCUAUUUUAUUUCUUGUUUCUUUUUCAACUAAGGUUCACUUCAAUCCGCUCAUUGUUCCCAGGAAAUUUUCGACUGACAUCGUUUUCCUCGGCGCAGGGGAGGCAGGAGGUACUGUGAAACGGGCGGGCGAGGGAAUCACCGCAAAGGUCUGCGCCGUGCUGCGAACCUGAGAUAACGCAAAUGCCGAAAACACACUCAGGGCGUAGCUUAAAGCCAAGAUUAUUAUGCUGAAGUUUUUUUUAAAAGCAAGAACAGGGAGAUAGACUUUGUGGGGACAGGAGGGGAGGGGCAGAGGAAAGAAAAAGGGUCAAGAUUAGCGUGAUACGAUGUGCGUGCGCAUCACCUUCCCAGGAUGCGCG